AGCUUUGCGCAGUGGCAGUAUCAUAGCCAAUGAGGUUUAUCUGAGGCGUGAUUAUUGCUAACUGAAUUUCUUUCCUCUUAUACUCUCAAUAUGCCUGCAGAUUUCCUGGGCUGAUUCAAUGUCUAAAUGUUUUCAUAUGUAA
This is a small nuclear RNA of Apodemus sylvaticus (European woodmouse), 142 nucleotides long. RefSeq annotates it as U4 spliceosomal RNA. The record is from RefSeq and is a predicted model, not a curated record. The transcript has a single exon. Lineage: Eukaryota; Metazoa; Chordata; Mammalia; Rodentia; Muridae.